Molecule: ribosomal RNA, 500 nt
Filed under: uncultured bacterium
Lineage: Bacteria
Description: partial 16S ribosomal RNA
Rfam family: Bacterial small subunit ribosomal RNA
Source: RNAcentral
GAUGAACGCUAGCGGCAGGCUUAAUACAUGCAAGUCGAGGGACAGCACAGGUAGCAAUACUGGGUGGUAACCGGCAAACGGGUGCGGAACACGUACACAACCUUCCUUCAAGUGGGGGAUAGCCCAGAGAAAUUUGGAUUAAUACCCCGUAAUAUAGUUGAAUGGCAUCAUUUGAUUAUUAUAGCUACGGCGCCCAAUGAUGGGUGUGCGGCUGAUUAGAUAGUUGGCGGGGUAACGGUCCACCAAGUCUACGAUCAGUAGCUGAUGUGAGAGCAUGAUCAGCCACACGGGCACUGAGACACGGGCCCGACUCCUACGGGAGGCAGCAGUAAGGAAUAUUGGUCAAUGGACGCAAGUCUGAACCAGCCAUGCCGCGUGAAGGAUUAAGGUCCUCUGGAUUGUAAACUUCUUUUAUUUGGGACGAAAAAGGGCCUUUCUAGGUCAACUGACGGUACCAGAUGAAUAAGCACCGGCUAACUCCGUGCCAGCCGCCGCGGUAA